CCCGCCCGUCACACCAUGGGAGUUGGUUUUACCUGAAGACGGUGCGCUAACCCGCAAGGGAGGCAGCCGGCCACGGUAGGGUCAGCGACUGGGGUGAAGUCGUAACAAGGUAGCCGUAGGGGAACCUGCGGCUGGAUCACCUCCUUUCUAAGGAUGAUCCUUCAGCGAGCUCACGCUCACUAUCGGAUCGUUUUAGAAACAUCAGUGGCCAACAGAUCGCCAGAUCGUUGAGCUGCAUUGGCGGGAUUUCGCCGUCUUCGUUUCUCUUUCUUCGCGGACGAACACGCGCUGGGCCUGCAUCAUGCAGGAUCCCACGGUCCCUGACGGGAUAUGCGUUAGGGGCUUGUAGCUCAGUUGGUUAGAGCGCGCGCUUGAUAAGCGUGAGGUCGGAAGUUCAAGUCUUCCCAGGCCCACCACUUUCAUCGAGUGAGCAUUCGUCUUCUGGUUACGGGGCCAUAGCUCAGCUGGGAGAGCGCGUGCUUUGCAAGCAUGAGGUCGUCGGUUCGAUCCCGUCUGGCUCCACCAGAUGGUUUGAUCACCGAGAUCUUGCACCGUCGUCCGCGAAACAUCACUUCGCAUCCUGCUAGUCUGGAUAGACAGCAAGAUGCGUGUUUUCUGACAUCGUAAAGAGGAGAUCGAUCCGAGUUGGGUCGUGCAGCAGAUUGUUGCGCGAACCUUCAUUAUCUCCGGAUCAUUUUCGGCGCUCGCUUUCAGCCGUGAGGUUGAAUGCGAGUUGUAAAAUGAUCCUUUUAGCGAAGCUUGACCGCCUCGCUAUCGGAACGAUCUUACGAAGCAGCUGGUCUUUCUAGUCAAUGUCCGGCUGCACGUAGCAUUCAUCGAGGGUGCGCGCCGUAAGGCAAUCGUGCAGACAACAUUCUGCCGAGUGUGUGGACAUUGAUAAUGAGAGCAAUCAAGUGCCUUAAGGUGUUCGGUGGAUGCCUUGGCGCUGACACACCGCCCGUCACACCAUGGGAGUUGGCUUUACCUGAAGACGGUGCGCUAACCAGCAAUGGAGGCAGCCGGCCACGGUAGGGUCAGCGACUGGGGUGAAGUCGUAACAAGGUAGCCGUAGGGGAACCUGCGGCUGGAUCACCUCCUUUCUAAGGAUGGUUCUUCAGAAGCUUGCUUCUAUCGAACCGUUUUAGAAACAUCAGUGGCCAACAGAUCGCCAGAUCGUUGAGCUGCAUUGGCGGGAUUUCGCCGUCUACGUUUCUCUUUCUUCGCGGACGAACACGCGCCGGGGCUGCGCUGUGCGAUUGCAUCUGCGCUUGUCGCGGUUGCUUGCACGCAAGACCCUAGUCCUGAUGAGGAUAGCGUUAGGGGCUUGUAGCUCAGUUGGUUAGAGCGCGCGCUUGAUAAGCGUGAGGUCGGAAGUUCAAGUCUUCCCAGGCCCACCACUUUCAUCGAGCGGGCAUUCGUCUUCUGGUUACGGGGCCAUAGCUCAGCUGGGAGAGCGCGUGCUUUGCAAGCAUGAGGUCGUCGGUUCGAUCCCGUCUGGCUCCACCAGAUGGCUUGAUCACCGAGAUCUUGUACCGUCGUCCGCGAAACAUCACUUCGCAUUCACUAGUCUGGAUAGACAGUGAACUGCGUGUUUUCUGACAUCGUAAAGAGGAGAUCGAUCCGAGUUGGGUCGUGCAGCAUAUCGUUGCGCGGGCCUUCAUUAUCUCCGGAUCAUUUUCGGCGCUCGACGCUGACCGCAAGGUUGGCUGCGAGUUGUAAAAUGAUCCUUUUAGCGAAGCUUGACCGCCUCGCUAUCGGAACGAUCUUACGAAGCAAGCUGGUCUUUCUAGUCAAUGUCCGGCUGUACGUAGCAUUCAUCGAGGGUGCGCGCCGCAAGGCAAUCGUACAGACAACAUU
RNAcentral lists this transfer RNA (1857 nucleotides) under Bradyrhizobium sp. RNAcentral's name for it is "partial may contain 16S ribosomal RNA, 16S-23S ribosomal RNA intergenic spacer, and 23S ribosomal RNA". The stretch from base 1 to 147 matches the Rfam family "Bacterial small subunit ribosomal RNA", at positions 1388 to 1533 of the family's 1533-position model. Lineage: Bacteria; Pseudomonadati; Pseudomonadota; Alphaproteobacteria; Hyphomicrobiales; Nitrobacteraceae. The record is from RNAcentral.